AUUGAACGCUGGCGGCAGGCCUAACACAUGCAAGUCGAACGAGUGGCGGACGUGUGAGUAAUAGCUGGGAAAGUGACUGAUGGAGGGGGAUAAGUACUGGAAACGGUAGCUAAUACCGCAUACCCUCGAAUGUGCCCAGAUGGGAUUAGAUAGUAGGUGGGGUAAAGGCUAACCUAGGCGACGAUCUCUCGCUGGUCUGAGAGGAUGACCAGCCACACUGGAACUGAGACACGGUCCAGACUCCUACGGGAGGCAGCAGUGGGGAAUAUUGCACAAUGGGCGGAAGCCUGAUGCAGCCAUGCCGCGUGUAUGAAGAAGGCCUUCGGGUUGUAAAGUACUUUCAGCGGGGAGGCGUUACCCGCAGAAGAAGCACCGGCUAACUCCGUGCCAGCAGCCGCGGUAAUAC
This 406-nucleotide ribosomal RNA is filed under the name uncultured bacterium. RNAcentral's name for it is "partial 16S ribosomal RNA". It matches the Rfam family "Bacterial small subunit ribosomal RNA", at positions 30 to 526 of the family's 1533-position model. The record is from RNAcentral.